RNAcentral lists this ribosomal RNA (498 nucleotides) under uncultured bacterium. Its description in RNAcentral is "partial 16S ribosomal RNA". It matches the Rfam family "Bacterial small subunit ribosomal RNA", at positions 27 to 507 of the family's 1533-position model. The record is from RNAcentral.
GGAUGAACGCUGGCGGCGUGCCUAAUACAUGCAAGUCGAGCGAACAGACGAGGAGCUUGCUCCUCUGACGUUAGCGGCGGACGGGUGAGUAACACGUGGAUAACCUACCUAUAAGACUGGGAUAACUUCGGGAAACCGGAGCUAAUACCGGAUAAUAUAUUGAACCGCAUGGUUCAAUAGUGAAAGACGGUUUUGCUGUCACUUAUAGAUGGAUCCGCGCCGCAUUAGCUAGUUGGUAAGGUAACAGCUUACCAAGGCAACGAUGCGUAGCCGACCUGAGAGGGUGAUCGGCCACACUGGAACUGAGACACGGUCCAGACUCCUACGGGAGGCAGCAGUAGGGAAUCUUCCGCAAUGGGCGAAAGCCUGACGGAGCAACGCCGCGUGAGUGAUGAAGGUCUUCGGAUCGUAAAACUCUGUUAUUAGGGAAGAACAAAUGUGUAAGUAACUAUGCACGUCUUGACGGUACCUAAUCAGAAAGCCACGGCUAACUACGUG